UAGUACUAUAUGUGUUCAGCCUAUGAAGUGUCACAGCAACACAAGGCUGUCUGUGAGGAUAAGAGUGUGGGGUCUUAUCAGGCACAAGCCAGACACACACAAACACAUAUUCCUGCACACGCACUACACACGCACACAUGAGACGCUGUGCACAAGAGGAAAUCACACUCACUCAUAUCAGCUAUAUGGCAACACUUGCCAGUUAUCUUCCUUUGGGAAGGAUGAGGGGGGGGGUGAAACAAGCUGGAGGAAAAAAAAAACUGUUGUAAAGGUCAAGGGACAAGCCUGCAAACUGAAGGGUGAAGAAUUAAAAUUCAAAAAAUGAUGUUGUCAGUAGAAUUGAUAGUGAAAGAUAAGGGGCUUUAAGAACUGUAAAAUUCUUUGGAAGUCAAGAAUGAAGAGAAGAUGGCACUUCUGAUCAUAAGAAAAAGAGCAGCACAUAGAGAAGAAGGCAGCCGUGACUCAUGGAAGAAAGAAGCCAUGAGCAGCCCAUAAAAGUUACAAGGGGCCCAGCUGAUUCAUUUUCCAAAGCCUAAAACACAGUUGAGGAAGUGUCUACGAUGGAUUGAAGGCUGGCGGAAGACCGCACGUACAACUAACUAUGGACAAUAUCAACAAACACAAGGCUGUAUGUUCGAAGCAUGCUGGGGCUGCUGUAGAAGGUUGCCCUCACAGUUCUGAGGACCAGCGUUCAAAUCCCAGCCCCAUCUGCAUGGUAUUUGCAUUGUUCUCCCCGUGCCUGUGUGGGUUUUAUCCGGGCACUUGGGUUUCCUCCCACAUCCCAAAAAUACACUUUAAUUGAAGACUGAAUUGCCCCUAGGUGCGAUUGUGAGUACAACUGUUGACUGUCUCCAUGUGCCCUGGGAUAGCCAGGCCACCAGUUCAGGGAGUACCCUGCCUCUCGCCUGAUGACAGCUGGAAUUGGCUCCACCACAUCCAUGACCCUCGUGAGGAUAAGCGGCUUAGAAAAUGGAUGGAUGGAUGUUUUUGUUUUUUUUCCCCCCAGAGUAUCCAGUAUCAGCACAAACAGCUAUGGUUGAAACACGUUUGAUUGCCAGUCAAUUUUUUUUCUUUUGCACUGAUUGGUGGACAGGCCUCAAAUAGUAUGCCUGUUACUUGUGGAGCUCACUCAUUAGGAGAUAUUUUUCUUGUACGGACUAUGAAUUGUCAAGGAAAAUCAAAAUGUGUCCAUAUUUUACUACUUUUUCCAGCUGUCAAUCUUUUUCUUAACUAGAAAAUUCUUACAAGUGUUUAUGAGUCUAUCCUUGUCCUCUCAAUACUUUCCUCUCUAUUCUUUCUGUGCACUUUGUGAUUGUGUAUAAUUGACACCUCUUCCCCAUGUGCCCAGUGCAAAGACUCGUCACGUGCAUGCACUGUACACGCACGCCUUCAUUGUGUGUGCUGCUGUAUGGAUUUUCUUCAAUAUCGUAACACCCUACAUAGUAUAGUGGUACCAUGACUUACAAGUUUAAUUUGUUCUGUGAGACAGCUCUUAAUUUACGUACUUAUGGAUCAAAACAAAUUCCCUACUGAAAAUUUUGAUCAAUAAAAAUAUCACUCAAUUUUAUUAAAGAAAACAUGGUGAAAGAGAAGGGGAAAGAGAAUUUCAAGAAAUAAUAUCAAUAAUUACCAUACGUUGGGACAAGAAAUGACAACAACAGCUAUAGAUCUUGUGCACCUAUGUCACCGAAAUCACGUGACUGGCCAUAUUGCCUGUCAAGCAAAGCAUUGUACAAUGCUAUGUCCGUUGAGACUAAACGAAAAUACGUCUCCCAGAGUUUUAUCAGAUACUGUUAAACAUUUAAAAGGUGAUAAUAAACAAAGGUAUGUGGAAAAAUUAGAGACACUUGACAUAGAGGACCCAUAUUUAAUUCCAAAGUUGAUGUUUUCGCCGAUAAAAUCGAUUAUUAACCCGCUUCCGCUUGUCUUAGACAACAGGAUCUACACAUGUAUCUGGUAAGUAAGUCGUCGAGAUUUACACAGAAGAGUUUGAAAGCGUAGAAAAGUCUGGACACAUGCAAAUACUUCGUUGCAUGAUCUGUUCUCAUAUAAGAAUAAAUACCACAUGGUGAUGGAGCCACUCAGAUUUUUUCAAUACAAAUACCAAUAUUUAAAUAAAUGACCUCUGGUUAUACACAAACCAGGGGGGAAAAAAAGACAGCGAGUCGGCUCCUCCAUACACAGAAGCAUGUUGCGGCCACACGUUAAACUUCGAUAAACCUUUCCGUGACAAUUUUUUUUUUUAAUAUGCAUUGUUCUCAAAAGAGUCCAAUGCGUAUUUUAAAAUGAAAAUAAACCACUGGGAUAGGCUUUAGGCCCCCGUACACGGAAGCGUGUUGUGGCAACAUGUUAACCUCUUUGUGACCGACGGUUUAUUUUCUUUUUUUAAAUACGCAUUGGACUCAUUUGAGAAUGCAUAUUAAAAAAAAAAAAAAACAUCUGUCAGGGAGAUGUUUACCAAAGUUUCGCUUCCAUGUACAUUGGAGAUGACCCCCUGUUUGCCAACUUGGCAUUAGAAAUACUGUUUGGGAAUUUGAGAUUGAGAAGAAUAAUUCCUACCUGAAAUUAAGUGAUCGCUAUACAGUCGUGUGUAUUUGGUUGGGCGCCAUCUAUCAUGUUUAAUUGCAGAAAGCCAAAGAUCAUUUCUGGUCUUUUCAGGUGGUAUUCUAUAGAAUGACCUCUGAAUAUCUGUCUUGUCUGUUGUAACAACCAACUGCACAACAAGUCUCAGGCAUAGUGAAUAUUCUGCUCCAGUUCAAUGUCCCCCACACUGUCGAGCAGCUCUUUUUGACCAUCAAUAUGGCGCCAUGAAAAUGGUGACGUCACGUGCAUGAGCUCUAAUGCCAGUCAAACAAAGCAUUGUUGAAAGGUAAUUCCGUCGAGACGAAACGGAAAUAUUUUUUAUAGCAUCACACCCAGAGUUUUCUCUGAUACCGUUAAACAUUUAAAAGGUCAUAAUAAACAAAGGUACAUGGAAAAAUUUGAGACACUUGGCAUAGAGGAUCCAUAGUUAAUGUCGGAGUCGAUGUUUUCGCCAAUAAGAAAUUUGACUGUUAAUCCGCUUCCGCUUAUCUUGGAAAACUGGAUAUACACACGUAUCUGGUGAAUAAGUAGUUGAGAUUUACAGAGAAGAGUUUGAAGGUGUAUAAAAGUCUGGAUGCACACAAAUACUUUGUUGCUGAAUGUGUUCUCAAUCAGGAAUAAAUCCCACAUAGUGCUGGGCCCACUAAGAUUUUUUCAAUACAAAUACCAAUAUUUAAAUAAAUGACUCCUGGUUUUACACAAACUCGCAUUCAUUAACUAUGACUGGAAAAACGUUUAGGACAGGGAGUCGUCUCCUCCGUAGACAAGCGUAUUGCUGCCACACGUUAACCUCCGUAGGCCUUUCUGCAAUAGACGGUGUAUUUUUUUUAAAUACGCAUUGUUCUUAAAUGAAUUAACGUGGCAUUAUAAAUACUUCUUGAUAAUUUGAGAUUGAGAAGAAUAAUUCCUACCUGAAAUGAAAAGAUUGCAACAGAGGCAUGUGUAUUUCGUUGGGCACCAUCCAUCCCAUUUAAUUGCCAGAAUCAAUUGAUCUUUUCUCAUCUUUUCAGCUGCUAUCCCUUAGAAUGAUCUAUUUCAGGCUUGUCAAACAAAAGGCACGCGGUUCCGGCCCGCGAGGAGGUUUGAUCAGGCCCACAUGAUAAUUUAAAAGUAAAAAAUGCAUAAAAGACACGGAAUAAAUAUUAUCAAUAAGAUGCCAUUCAUUGAUUAUCCGCUAGGGGCACACUGUUGAGUAGAAGACAACAUUGUUUUGAUCAGAGAAGAAGACAACAGCAGGCUCCGAGACAACCUAACACAGUAGAUGGUAUCAAUGCGGUAUCUGCUGGUUGUUACAACUUUGUUUUAACCCUGGUCUCUACCCCUCCCCUAAACCCUCUUUAGCCAAAAUGUCAUCCAAAUGGAGAAAAGUAGAUAUGGAGUGUAGAAUUUUCAAUGACAAAUGGACCACGUCCCAUUUAUUUAUAGAAAUGCAUGGAAAACCUUUGUGCUUGGUGUGUUUGCAACAAGUUUUGGAGUAUUGAAGGAAUAUAUUCGACACCACUACGAGACUCUUCACAGUGAAAAAUAUGACGGCUUACAAGGACUACUGAGAAGAGAUAAAAUCAACGAAUUGCAGGCGGGUCUUGAGAAAACAGUAGCCAACUUUCAUCCAGAGCCGACAAUCAGUGAAGCAGUGGUAAAAGCCAGCUACCUAAGUAAUUGCUACCGAAAUAGCAUUAGCAUCAAAGCUGUAUUCCAUCGGGGACUUUGUUAAACGAUGCAUGGUGAAGGCGGCUGAACUUGUAUGUCCUGAGAACCGACAAGCGUUUGCCAAUAUUAGCCUGUCGAGGAAUACUAGAACAGAGGAUUUCAGACCUAUCAGCAGAUAUAGACAGUCAAUUGAAAGAGAGUCAAGUCAUUUAUUACAUUUUCUGUUGCAAUUGACGAGAGCACUUACAUCACAGACGUGGCACAACUGGCCUUAUUUAUCAUGGAGUUGAUGAGACAUUGACUGUUACUGAAGAGUUUGAGUUGGUGCCAAUGAUGGACACCACAACAAAAAUUUAGAUGUUUAAUGUUAGUCAGCAACUUCACUACAAAAAAGCGUGGUGGAAUUCUACCUUUCAUGCGACUGAAUUUUCAGUAUGUAUUGUGUGUGUUUCAUGUAUGACUGCGCAUUUAGAGGAGAUGUGAAUACUUUCUUCAUUACACAUUUAAUUGCACUCUCCUUAGUCUGUAAAGUGUGGUGAGGUGAGCUGUGGGAAUUAUAAACGAUUAAAUUCAGAUUUUAUUUGAACAUGAGAAAAUGGUUUAAAAAUUCCUUUCUUUAUAAAUCUCAUUUAAUCUUAGUGCAUUACAUAUUUUUCAAUACCAAUUACUUAAAGUUUUGUGCCUUUGUACAAUCAGUGGGAUCAGUUGCUAUGCAUAUAUGAGUGAUAAAAGUAAAUUGCACAUGUCUAAUGAAAUCUGACGUGUUUCAUAAAAUGUUUUGUCAAAGGAAUGUUCGUUAAAUUUUAACAUUUUCCUCAUGUUCUUGUGCUUCUUUACACCAAAACAAAGGAAAGACAUGAUAUUUUGGUUAUUUAUAGUAGAGUAUGGUAUCAUUUUAAUGGUCCGGCCCACUUGACAUCUCCAUAGGCCGUAUGUGGCCCACAGUGUGAAAUGAGUUUGACACCCCUGAUCUAUUUGAAGAACUGUCUCAUCUAUUGUGACAACCAACAGCACAAUAGGUCACAGGCAUUGUGAAAAAUCUGCUCCGGUUCAACAACUCCCACACUACCAAGCAGCUUUAUUUGACCGGCAAUAUGGCGCUGCAAAAAUGGUGACGUCACAUGCACAAUCUCUAUAGAAGAUACAACGAUAUUCCUAGACCUGAAUUUAAUCAUAGUUCUCUUCAUAAUAAUCAAAUCAUGAGGUGCUGAGAUCCCCAUAGGUACUGUAGAGAGUGAUUCAAAGACUGAAAUUAUGAUCAUUUGUUGAAGGCGGCACGUUGGACACAUAGUUAGCACAUCUGCAUGACAGUUCUGAUAACAUGGAUUAAAAUCCGGCUGUGCCUGUGUGGAGUUUGCAUGUUCUCCCCGUGCCUGGAUGGGGUUUCUCGGGUACUCCGUUUUUCGCCCACAUCCCCCAAAAAACACGUUAACUGAAUACUGAAUUUCCAGUAGAUGUGAAUCUUUGUGUAUCUGCUAUUAAUUGGCGUUCAGUUCAGAGUGUACCCCACCUCGUACCCAGAGAUAACUAGGAUAAACUCCAGCAUACCAGCAAUCCCAGUGAGGAUAAGUGGUAUGGAAAAUGGAUGGAUGUUGUGUUGAAAACUUUGUCACAACUUUAUGUUCUAUUUUUAGUGUAUUGGCUUUAUGGCCUUAUUCAGUCUAUAAACAAAUGAAUGUUAAACCAGGAAUAACUUUUGGAAUUGACGCCUGGGAGCAACAAUAAGCAAUUAUUAUAUUCUGCUACAAUCACAAACUUUAACUAGUAGGUACAAAUAUUAAAACAAGUACCGACUGAUUAUGAAUUCAAUAAGCAAAGAAAACAAUUUAGUAAAGGUCAGAAUUGAAACAAUAGUGCUUGCUUGUUAAGAUUUCCAAGCCAUGAUUUAAACUUAGCAGGUAGCUCAGCCUAAGACCUGAAAAUAAAAGACUUAUCAUGGCAUCCUUUUAAUGAUAAUACUGGUCCCUGGGAGCAGUAUCAGGAAAAGUACUUUGCAAACUCCCUCACUUUGUAAAUAUAUAAUACUCAAGAUAUCCAUAAUUCUUCAUGCAUUUGGACUAGCUGCCUUGGACAUUUUGUCCUCUUUUUGCCCCUUGCUGACUCCAGUGCCUCAAUAUAGGAAGUGCUUACAUUGGUUCUUUAUUUGUGCAGUAGUCAGCCUUAAGACAGAAACACAACACAAGCCAGAUAUAAUAUCUAGCAAAGCUGAGGAGAUGAACGAGCAAAUUUUGAAGGGCAAUAAAUAUUCUUCACUCUCGAUGACUAUACUCCUCCAUUUCCUGAGGGGUAUAUUACAGGAUUUAGAGAGGCAAGGGUCCAAGUGCUACUGCCCUAAGUUCCUUUCACAAAUUUGUUUCAUUUCUUUUCUACUGUCUGUCAGAAUCUCAAUGCUGAACUCUCACCUUUUCCUUUUGGACUCAAUUUUAUCUUAAGCUAUUUCUCGUACAUACAUAAAUCCUGGUUGACUCCUUGCAAAGGAAAAUAAGGAAAGUAUAGCUCCUUUUCCUGGAUGUCAAACCUCCAAAACCAUUAACAUUAGUUGCCACUUUUAGCACAACGCGCCAUCACCAUAUUUCAUCAGUACGCUUUCUUUUCAUUUUUCAUAUUCUUCUUUCAUUGUACAUUAUUACUCAGCCCCUAAGAUAGACCUGAGCAAAGUACAACACGCGCCACAUCCAGCAUGUUGGCCUUUUCUGUACAGUCCACAUGAGAUCAAGAAACAGAAAUAAACCCCAAUAGAUCAAUGUGUUACUUUUAUUUUGAAAGUAAGAUUAUUAUCACAGUUGUGCUUCCCAUUAUUGGCAACCUCGAAGUACAAAAUGUGGUAUAAUGAUUCAAAGGAUUUUUUUUUCUAUAAAUAACUUGUGGUUGAUACAUGAGCAUAUAUUUUAUGGACAAAUGAAACAAAAAUAAUGCUUUUUAGCAAUGCACCCAAUCAGUUUGUGCACAGACAAGCGCAAUGAAGAAUAAGCAAAACACUGCCAACAGUCAUGCAUGGAGGCGGAUCCAUAAUGCUGUCUCACCUGUGUAAUAAGACUUGUUUUAUGGCAAAAAUCAUGGGUUCAAAAUAUUGUAAAAAGCACAGUUAUGGACUUUACUGGGGAAAAAAAGGACUGUUUUACCAUGGGCAGCAAUGAGACCUGCUGACAAUCCAAUUGAAUAUGUUUGGGAAAAGAACCUUCCAAAUGUUCAAGAGGUUGAACACAUUCCAAAGGAAAUGUGAAAAAAAAUACCACCUGAUGAGUGCAAAAAGCUUAUAGAUGGAUACAAGAAAUGUUUGGAGGCUGUCAUCGCUGUCAAAGGGUGCGCAACUAAAUAUUAAAGAGGGGCUCCUUUGAUUGUUGAAUAUGCUGUUUUCUGGUCUUGUCAAGUCCUGUGACUUAUCCAAAGUCUGCGCAGAACAACUUGCUCCAUUCUUCACAAAAAUCUUCAGUAGGUCUCUAGAACUGUGUGAAGCACCAGACUGCUUCAAACGCUCCGCAACCAUCCCGCGAGUUGCCUUGAUAUCUGUGAUCAUGAAGUCCGUUGAAUGCCUUGUGCUGGACUACCUCAAGAGCGUUGCAGGUCCCAAAUUGAACCCAAUGGAGUAUCCCAACAAGCUAACAGGUCUCUGGCUGAUGCAGUCAUCAUGGGUCUGCACUUCAUCCUUGAACACCACGACAGUCUAGGAACCUAUUGGAGGAUCCAAUUCGGGACUUCAGCUCUGCAUUCAAUACCAUCAUCCCCAAACUCCUCUCCAAGCUUCUCCACCUUGGAGUCUCGCCUGCCAUCUGCGAGUGGAUCUAUAACUUCCUGACACGCAGGACACAGCAGGUGAGGCUAACCUCAUCCACACACACACACCAUCAUCCCAAGGUUGUGUCCUCUCCCUGUUGCUCUUCUCGUUCUAUACAAACGACUGAACCUCAAGUCAAACUCCUGAAGUUCGCAGAUGGCGCCACAGUUGUCGGCUCAUCAAAGAUGGCGACGAGUGUGUAUCAACAGGAAGUCAAGAGGCUGGAGCUUUGGUGUGGCUAACACAACCUGGAUCUGAACAAAUUAAAGACUGUAGAAAUGAUUGUGGACUUCAGGAGGCAACCUUCACCACAGCUGCCCCUCAUGAUGUCUUGUGUCAAAUAUACCUUUAAGUUCUUGGGAAUUAGAGUUUCACAGGAUCUGAAGUAGGAGACAAACAUCCAUUCUAUCCUAAAAAAAAAAAAAAAGCCCAACAAAAGGUACUUCUUGGGGCUUUUGAGGAAGCAUGGCCUGUCACAAGAGCUGCCUUCACAGUUCUCCACAUUGUCUAUUCAAUGAAUACUGUGUACUUCAAUCACAGUCUGGUUUGGGGCUGCCACAUACAAGGAAAAACUCAAACUCAGGACAAGAGUGGGCAGGAUGCAUCCUUUGCACAACUGUGAAUUGACUAUUGUUUUUCAUACUCAACAUGUAUGUUGUACUAGGGCGAGACAAAUUAUGUGUGUGUUGUCACAUACUUGGUCAAUAAAGAUGAUUCUGAUAGUAAUUCACAGAUUAACACCCAGAAUUACGUGUAUGUGGAUGGUGGAUGUGUGGAUCUAGCUCCCAGCAUUCAAGGAGUACAAAAUACCCUACAAUGUCAGUGACGGUGACACCAACUUCUCUCAAGUCAACUAAAGCACAACAUUCUCACCAAUGAGUGAACUGAAGUCACACCUUCAACUAACCACCUCCAAAAGUACUUAUUCAGUCUCAAACAGAAGUGCUCAAUGUGUCGAUCAUAUGACAAAAAAAAAAAAAAAAAAAAAAAAAAGAUGUCAGACUAUCAUCAACCCCGUUGCUUGCUUCAGGUGUGCCCAAUACGUCAAGAUAUAUUGGUCAAGCUCAAAGGUAGUGUUGGUAUAACACAUGACAUUAAAACGUAGACAUCGGGCUAUCACUAUGAAAUCUUCGUAAUCAUAAAUGUAAUUUUCAUGUGGUAAACUGAUGCCAUAACCAGAGAGUAUCCAGGCCCCGUCCAUUCCCAUUUUCCCAAGAUGUCAUGAGCAAAACCGCUAAACUUUAUAGUGAAAGCUAUAAACCGGUAUCUUGUGGUAUUAUUUGGGCACUAGAUGCUUAAAAUAGAAAUGUAAAUGGGGUAGAUGGUUCUGUAUACUGGACUGAUAUGGUUAUUUGAGCUGUAGAAUUUUGUGUAUGUGAACAGAUUUGUUUUUUUUUUAAUCCACACCUGUGCAUGUAAAUGCUGCAUACCCAUGGAAAGAACAGAAUAAAAUUGUUGUUGUGAGAGUCAACAUAUUCACCAGAAAAUGGCAGAUCAUCCAGACCAUCUGCUGCAGUGCACCCAGGUUUUAUUGCCAGGUGUCUGAACUCAUGAGUACUUGAGGUUGCCGAUCUCCAAUUCAGGCAACAGUAUCGGCAGUGAAGGAAUUUCCACAACACGAGUAAGAGCUAUUUCUAUUCCUAUUUCUAAUGCAGCCACAUGGGGGCACAAACCAGUGCAAUCUGUAGGCCGGUCCCAAGCCCGGAUAAAUGCAGAGGGUUGCGUCAGGAAGGGCAUCCGUCAUAAAAACUGUGCCAAACAAAUAUGAGCGUUCAUCUAAAGAAUCCCAUACUGGAUCGGUCGUGGCCCGGGUUAACAACGCCCGCCCCCGACACUGCUAACCUGCAGGCCGUCGGUGGAAAUUCAGCUACUGUGGGUCGAAGAGGAGGAAACCGGAUCCAUCGUCAGAAAAAAAGAGGAAUGCACAGAGCCUACAACUGAGUGUAGGCACUUUGAAUGUUGGGACUAUGACAGGAAAAGCUCAGGAGUUGGUUGACAUGAUGAUUAGGAUAAAGGUUGAUAUUCUGUGCAUCCAAGAGAGCAGGUGGAAAGGUAGUAAGGCUAGAAGUUUAGGAGCAGGGUUUAAAUUAUUCUACCACGGAGUAGAUGGGAAGAGAAAUGGAGUAGGGGUUAUUUUAAGGGAAGAGCUGGAUAAAAAUGUCUUGGAGGUGAAAAGAGUAUCAGAUCGAGUGAUGAGACUAAAAUUUGAAAUUGAGGGUGUUAUGUAUAAUGUGGUUAGCGGCUAUGCCCCACAGGUAGGAUGUGACCUAGAGUUUAAAGAGAAAUUCUGGAAGGAACUAAAUGAAGUAGUUCUGAGCAUCCCAGACAGCGAGAGAGUUGUGAUUGGUGCAGCUAAUUCAGUAGAAAUGUGCUGAAAAGGCUGUGCAGCAGGUACGUUUAAGGCAAUGUUUUUGGAAUCAUUACAGUUUGAUGAACAGAAAACUGAUAAUGCCCAUGAUUGAUCUACCAUGAGGGAAAGACCUGUUCAAAAUACCCAGAAAGUUGAAUUGAGAAAAUGCUCUCUUUUGAACCCAAUAGAAGUCAUGCACCUGAUCCCCCACCCCACCAAAAAAAUAGUCCCUUUGAUUGGCCAUUACAGGCUUUGUCUCAGGCAUGUGUCUCCCUGUGUGUGCCAUUUGAUUUGUUAUGUGGAAUAAAAUAACAUUGGAUUGGUACAAACAGGGCCCAACGUGGGAGUGGAAGUUAAAGUACAGGGCCCAACGUGGGAGUGGAAGUCAGAGUCUAAAAGUAUAUUGCGCAAGCAAUACUUGAUUAAUAAAAAAAAAAACAGUGGUGUAUAGAGUAAAAGUAAAGCUUUAUCUUAAUGCAAACAAUCCAGUAAAAGUCUGACCCUAACCUACUCUAACAAGUAAAAUUCAUCCAAAAUGUUACUUGAGUAAAUAUAGCGCCUUACUAUAUACCGUAAGAGUACCCUCUGCUAAUGUUGUCAAUAUAAAUGUAAGUUCUAUUAGCUUUCAGAGAUAACUGAAUUACCUGGCAAUCAAAAAUAUCUAACAAACAUAUCUAAUAUAAUAUCUAAUGACCACAAAUUAUGUGGGAGGGUUCAUAGACAAGUAAAGAAGACAAGUGGGCACCAUUCAUUGUUUCUUUCAUUAGGUAAUGCUUGUUUUUGCCUAUGGGUUUUACCUCUGAAAAUGGCAUUUUCUGUAAAGCAAACGUGAAAACCAGAUAGCAGUUCAUGGGUGAAAAUCAAUUCAUCUAGGAGCUGAGAAGGAGAAGUGAUAACAGCUAUUGUGCAAACACUGGGCAUAGCCGAUACUGUACAGCAAUUUGGAAUUUCCUGAAAAAGUAAAAACUACUGGUACUGCAGUCACUGUGAUUUGACGAGCACGAUCGCGCUCGCAAAUCUUCACAGUCAAGCACGAAAAAUCACGCGCGUAGAAUUUGCUACGAGUAAAAAAAAUAGAUAUUGAAAGACGUUGCUUAUUUUGUGUAGUCUUGACAUUAAUUUACCUGUUUAUUUCACAAACGUUGUGAACUAAAGCCUGCUCCUAAACAAUCAGUAUUCAUCUGGAAACAGGAAAUGUGAGUGAACCGUACUGAGCAUGUACGUAAGUGAUGCCAAAAGCACAUGUUCCGAGCUGCUUCACGUACUGCGAGUGCAUUUACGUAGAAAGUCAUCACCAUCAUGAGCCAUGUCAAAGGAAAUUCAGUUACACCAGGGGCACUCAAUGUGUCGAUCGUGUUGGUUGAUCAUGUGACAGUGUGCUCCAAAAAAAAAAAGUUACACUCAUCCACCUCGUCGCUAGAUUCAGGUGUGGCCAAUACAUCGAGUGCAUGCACAUAAAGGCACCUUCUAGCAAGCCGGCCUCCUAUUUACAGCAGUUGCGGCCCGUGCACCCCCCCCCCCAUCUUUUUUUUCUUCUCUUUUAAGCACACGGUCUAUAGAGCUUGUGCACCUACGUCAUAAAAUCAUGUGACUUUUGUUUACCUCGCCGUAUUACUGGUCAAGCUAAGCAUUGCUCAAUGCUAAGUUGGUUGGAGAUGACACAGAAAAAUGUCUUGUGGCACGACACCCAGAGUCUUGUCCGAUACCGUCAGUCAUGGAAAAAUUACAUAAACUCGGCAGAGAGGACCCGUAUUUAAUGUCGAAGUUGAUGAUUGGACUGUUAAUUCGCUUCCGCUUGUCUUGGACAACUGGAUAUACACAUGGACCUGGUGAGUAAAUCGUCGAGAUUUACACGGAAAAGUUGGAAAGCAUAUAAAAGUCUGGACGCAUACGAAAACUUUGUUGAUGGAUCUGUUCUCAUCAGGAAUAAAUCCCACAUAGUCACGUUUUUGACGGCUUGUGAACAGAGAAGUGUGUUCGGCAACACAUUAACCUUGUUCAUCUGCUUACAAAAAUAAAGGUGCAAUUAUGCCUCAGUGUCUCACGAGCGCCACCCUGCGCCUAAUAAUACGGUGCACCUUAUACAUGUAUAAAAUAAUGGAAUUGCAUCCGCAUCUGAAACCGAGCCUUUUAAUACGGUGCACCUUAUAGCUGUGAAAAUACAGUACUAAAAGUUAUGUUUUAGGUGUCCAUGACCCUUUAAGUAGAUGCAUGUUGAUGUUAUGGUUUACACACUGCAUUGUUAUGACGGCUCCCGAGAGAGCUCGUAUGGGAUACAAGUACGAGUUUUUCUUUUACCAAGCUGUUCUGAUUCCCAAUAAAAGUAUAAAAACAAUCCUAUCUACUGUCCAUUGUGGUGGAUGGGCCUCCAUCUUCAUAUAUAAUGCAAUGUUCAAGAUGAAGUGUGCAUCUCUUACGGCUGGUCCAAUUAAAUGUAUUGCACAUCAUAAAUAUGCCCGACCCAAAUGAAUUACUUCAGGGGAACAGCUUUCCAGAGAUCUACUGUAAUUGUUUAAAUCAAAAUUACAAAAAAGUAUUUAUGUAAACCUAGCUAUUGUGUGAGUGGUCCAAUAGGGCGAGCUGCUAAGCUUCUUAAGAGCUCUAACUCAGUAGCUUAUAGGCUAGCUUGUUAACUCGUGAUCUUGCUCGAGGAUGGACCAGCCCACACAACAAAUUGUUAACUUUCCCUCCAAUGUCUGUCAUGGUCUCUGUUUUGGUUGGGUUAGUUUUGUUUAUUUCCCGUGUUCCAUGUCUCAUCUGCUAAUUUUGGAUAGCCGAAAGAAACUUACUAUUUUUAUUUUUAAAUAAUAGCUUUCCAACAGUUUGUUUUUUUUUGGGGGGGAACUAUUUCACCAACUUGAAAAAAACUUUCUU
Syngnathoides biaculeatus (alligator pipefish) is the source of this 13232-nucleotide long non-coding RNA. RefSeq lists it as uncharacterized. The transcript is spliced from 4 exons. NCBI's taxonomy places the organism in Eukaryota, Metazoa, Chordata, Actinopteri, Syngnathiformes, Syngnathidae. The record is from RefSeq and is a predicted model, not a curated record.